AGAAUCAACGCUGGCGGCGUGCCUAACACAUGCAAGUCGAACGCGGUUACCCCGCAAGGGGUGACUGAGUGGCAAACGGGUGAGUAACGCGUGGGUGACCUACCUUCGAGUGGGGGAUAACGUUUCGAAAGGAACGCUAAUACCGCAUGACAUCCUGCCUUUGGACAGGCGGAGAUCAAAGCCGGGGAUCGCAAGACCUGGCGCUUAAAAGAGGGGCCCGCGUCCGAUUAGCUAGUUGGUGGGGUAACGGCUCACCAAGGCGACGAUCGGUAGCCGGCCUGAGAGGGCGACGGCCAACGACUGGGACUGAGACACGGCCCAGACUCCACGGGAGCAGCAGUGGGAAUUGUCGCAAUGGGCGCAAGCCUUGACGACGCAACGCCGCGUGAGGAUGAAGGCUUCGGAUUGAAAACUCCUGUUGAUCGGACGAACAACCAUCGGAUAACACCCCGAGGUCUGACGUACCGAUUGAGGAAGCCCGGCUAACUCUGUGCCAGCAGCCGCGGUAAA
RNAcentral lists this ribosomal RNA (510 nucleotides) under uncultured soil bacterium. RNAcentral describes it as "bacterial SSU rRNA". It matches the Rfam family "Bacterial small subunit ribosomal RNA", at positions 26 to 524 of the family's 1533-position model. The record is from RNAcentral.